RNAcentral lists this ribosomal RNA (387 nucleotides) under uncultured fungus. RNAcentral's name for it is "eukaryotic LSU rRNA". The stretch from base 1 to 126 matches the Rfam family "5.8S ribosomal RNA", at positions 29 to 154 of the family's 154-position model. Lineage: Eukaryota; Fungi. The record is from RNAcentral.
UGCAUCGAUGAAGAACGCAGCCAGUUGCGAUAAGUAGUGUGAAUUGCAGAAUUCAGUGAAUCAUCGAAUCUUUGAACGCAAAUUGCGCUUUCCGGAUAUCCGGGGAGCAUGCCUGUCUGAGCGUCGUUUAAUAAUCUACACACCUCGGUGUGGGUAGGGAGUUCAUGUGACCUGUUUUUUCAGGACACCUGUCUCUCGAUGUGUCUGAACCUUGCUCGUACUUGCUUAUGUACUUGCUUGGAAGGUUCAACUUGCUUCUGUCCUUCUAAAGUACAGUUUGACAACACUUCUGAUUGUUCACUUUCGGUUCUAACCGAAAACUUCUGUCUUUGACCUCAGAUCAGACAAGACUACCCGCUGAAUUUAAGCAUAUCAAUAAGCGGAGGA